CAGUCAACAUAGUACCAGCAAAAUUAGCAGCAUACAUGGGAGGAGGAGCCUGAGCACUGGAAUCCCCUAACUGGGUCUGUUGCAUCAAGCUCAUCAAUUGAUCAUAUUGAUGUCUGCUCAACCCUGGCAUCACAGAACUUUGGCCAUCUAUGUUUGUGACAGGGUGAUGGCUGCCAGGAGGAUCCCAAAAGGAACAGACAUAUUAAGAUUCCCAUGAUUAACAAACACACUUUCCUCACCAGUGGAGACAUGAGCAGCAGC
This 261-nucleotide long non-coding RNA is filed under the name Nicotiana benthamiana. RNAcentral's name for it is "long non-coding RNA (NBEN_LNC039028)". Lineage: Eukaryota; Viridiplantae; Streptophyta; Magnoliopsida; Solanales; Solanaceae. The record is from RNAcentral.